GAUGAACGCUGGCGGCGUGCCUAAUACAUGCAAGUCGAGCGAACAGACGAGGAGCUUGCUCCUCUGACGUUAGCGGCGGACGGGUGAGUAACACGUGGAUAACCUACCUAUAAGACUGGGAUAACUUCGGGAAACCGGAGCUAAUACCGGAUAAUAUAUUGAACCGCAUGGUUCAAUAGUGAAAGACGGUUUUGCUGUCACUUAUAGAUGGAUCCGCGCCGCAUUAGCUAGUUGGUAAGGUAACGGCUUACCAAGGCAACGAUGCGUAGCCGACCUGAGAGGGUGAUCGGCCACACUGGAGCGGAGACACGGUCCAGACUCCUACGGGAGGAAGCAGUAGGGAAUCUUCCGCAAUGGGGGAAAGCCUGACGGAGCAACGCCGCGUGAGUGAUGAAGGUCUUCGGAUCGUAAAACUCUGUUAUUAGGGAAGAACAAAUGUGUAAGUAACUAUGCACGUCUUGACGGUACCUAAUCAGAAAGCCACGGCUAACUACGUG
This 497-nucleotide ribosomal RNA is filed under the name uncultured bacterium. RNAcentral describes it as "partial 16S ribosomal RNA". It matches the Rfam family "Bacterial small subunit ribosomal RNA", at positions 28 to 507 of the family's 1533-position model. The record is from RNAcentral.